ACCUGGUUGAUCCUGC
This 16-nucleotide non-coding RNA is filed under the name Mus musculus (house mouse). RNAcentral also lists the same sequence under 9 other names. The record is from RNAcentral. Lineage: Eukaryota; Metazoa; Chordata; Mammalia; Rodentia; Muridae.